Molecule: ribosomal RNA, 253 nt
Filed under: uncultured bacterium
Lineage: Bacteria
Description: partial 16S ribosomal RNA
Rfam family: Bacterial small subunit ribosomal RNA
Source: RNAcentral
UACGUAGGGUGCAAGCGUUAAUCGGAAUUACUGGGCGUAAAGAGUGCGUAGGCGGCUAUGUAAGACAGAUGUGAAAUCCCUGGGCUUAACCUAGGAACUGCAUUUGUGACUGCAUGGCUAGAGUGUGGUAGAGGGAGAUGGAAUUCCGCAUGUAGCAGUGAAAUGCGUAGAUAUGCGGAGGAACACCAAUGGCGAAGGCAGCUCUCUGGGACGGUACUGACGCUGAGACGCGAAAGCGUGGGGAGCGAACAGG